AGUGAAUAGAUACCCGGGUAGUCCUAGCCGUAAACGAUACUCGCUAGGUGUCGGCCACGGUGCGACCGUUGUCGGUGCCGUAGGGAAAGCCGUGAAGCGAGCCACCUGGGAAGUACGGCCGCAAGGCUGAAACUUAAAGGAAUUGGCGGGGGAGCACCACAACGGGUGGAGCUUGCGGUUUAAUUGGAUUCAACGCCGGAAAUCUUACCGGGACCGACAGCAAUAUGAAGGCCAGGCUGAAGACUUUGCCGGAUUAGCUGAGAGGUGGUGCAUGGCCGUCGUCAGUUCGUACUGUGAAAGCAUCCUGUUAAGUCAGGCAACGAGCGAGACCCACGCCCACAGUUGCCAGCGUACUCUCUGGAGUGACGGGUACACUGUGGGGACCGCCGCUGCUAAAGCGGA
Molecule: ribosomal RNA, 402 nt
Filed under: uncultured bacterium
Lineage: Bacteria
Description: bacterial SSU rRNA
Rfam family: Archaeal small subunit ribosomal RNA
Source: RNAcentral